Lathyrus oleraceus (garden pea) is the source of this 1778-nucleotide long non-coding RNA. RefSeq lists it as uncharacterized. The transcript is spliced from 2 exons. The record is from RefSeq and is a predicted model, not a curated record. NCBI's taxonomy places the organism in Eukaryota, Viridiplantae, Streptophyta, Magnoliopsida, Fabales, Fabaceae.
UGAUGGUAAAAUCCUAACCGUUAAUUUGAAAAUGUGUUUAGUAUAAAUAGGGAUGAGUUAGUUGAAUUUAUAUCAAAACAAAAAAAUUAUAAACACUUAAUAAUGUAAGUAUUUAUCUUUCCCAAAAAUUUCACAUCCUCUCCGAAAUUCUUAGUCUUUUUCCACUUACCCAAAAGUUCCUUCCAAUAUUUUAACAAAAAUAGAUGAAAGACCAUGGAAGAAGCCCCAAUGCAAAUAUAGCUAUGCAAUUUGCAAACAACAUCGUGAUCGCAUUACUCUUUCAUUUGCUAUGUUAUACAAUUGCCUUUCUAUGGGCAUAAUUACAGUUAUGCAUUGCGUGGAGUUGAAUGCGACCCUGGUCCGUGAGGUUUUGUAAGUAGUUUAUGCUUAUGCAAGUGACGGGUUCUUGUAAUGUGAUCUAAAAUAUGCAAAUUACUUUCGGUGAGCCAUGAGUAAAGGUACACUACAUAUUUAGACGGAUCUAGCUGGAUCUUCUAAAAAGUAGUGAUUCAUCUUCUAAACAUCCAGUGUAUGUUACUCAUAGGCUCCUAGAAGUAAUUUGCAUAUUUAGAUCAUUACGGUACUUUUGUCAGAUUGCAUGCUGGAGUUUCAUCAUCACCCAUUAAGAUCUGGUAGUAACUUUCUCUAUAAAUCUUAGAGGUCACCGCUUGCAUCACAAAUAUCAUAAGUUUUUGUUAAUGGGAAGUUUGGAGGGAGCAUCUGCAGAGAGAAAGUAGUUACUUUGAAGGAACAUAAUUGUGACUUGUGCGCGUUUUGUCAGAUCAUGAGGUUAUUGACUAUGGAUAAUUUGUUUCUCUGCAUGAACUUGACACUUUUAAAAGUUGACAUUUUACAAAAACAGAUGAUAAGUCUACACCAAAAGUUUAACAAAGAUUUUUGCUCUUCUAUUGUUUUUCUUGAAUUUGUUUGAUUGUCUUUGAAUGUUCUUGUCCCUCAUACUGCACUUACUUUACAGCAUGGUUGUACUUUCAUCUUUGCACAAUUGACUUACACAGUGCUUUUAUGCGAAAGACUAUACAAGAGUUCUUAUCUUCUUUUGAAAUUUCCUUUCACGGGCACUCUACAAAUAAAAUAUUUAUGAGUUAUUAUUCUCAUAGUGUCUUCAAUCAUGGUACCCGAACUACAAUUGUUGACAAUUUUAUUUUAUUUCUAGAGUUAUCUUUAAGUAAAUUUCAAUGGAAGAUAGGGACUCCUAAGUCUUUAUGCAAAAAUAGUUUCUGUUAAUUGUACAAACCGUGUAUGUACAACUCGACUAUAGAGUGAGAUGCAACUGGGCAAGAAUCUUCAAAGCCAACUAGGCUCAUCCAAGCUAAACACUGAAGCAACCAAAAUCUUUUUUAUUCUUUCGUUUGUGAAAUGUCAACUUCAAGGGUUAAGUUCAUGCCUGAGGAUCAGAAUUCUAUCUAGCAUGUUGUGCGAAACAAGGUUAUAAUAUCAACUUCAUCAGAUUAGUGUAUGCUUCAAUAGCUUCCUCAAAUUUGAGCUUUGACCAACUAUCAAUUAUUGUUGAAAAAGCAGUGAAUUUUGUAACUUUAUGCCUUCUGCUCAUUUCUUCUUUUGUAUUGCCUUCGUUUUAGCCAUUACUACUUGUUAAUAGUAUUUACCCAUGUUAUUCUUUCAAUGGUUUUGACACCAAACAAAUUCAUACAAUGAAUGAACCUGAUAGUUAUGUACCCUUUGAAUUUAUGAAUCAUCUACAAUAGUAACACAAUAUACUAUUGUUAUUUAAUAUAGUUAAACCAGAUUUUUACCUAUCA